RNAcentral lists this non-coding RNA (23 nucleotides) under Mus musculus (house mouse). The record is from RNAcentral. Lineage: Eukaryota; Metazoa; Chordata; Mammalia; Rodentia; Muridae.
UUAGAUGGUGUCUGUCAACUGAG